Non-coding RNA from Heteronotia binoei (common prickly gecko), 78 nucleotides. The record is from the annotation of a RefSeq genome assembly. Lineage: Eukaryota; Metazoa; Chordata; Lepidosauria; Squamata; Gekkonidae.
GGGGAUGGGGCGGUGGCUCAGUGGUAGAGCAUCUGCUUCGGAAGCAGAAGGUCCCAGGUUCAAUCCCUGGCAUCUCCA